This 468-nucleotide ribosomal RNA is filed under the name uncultured bacterium. Its description in RNAcentral is "partial 16S ribosomal RNA". It matches the Rfam family "Bacterial small subunit ribosomal RNA", at positions 28 to 507 of the family's 1533-position model. The record is from RNAcentral.
GACGAACGCUGGCGGCGUGCUUAACACAUGCAAGUCGAACGGAAAGGCCCUGCUUUUGUGGGGUGCUCGAGUGGCGAACGGGUGAGUAACACGUGAGUAACCUGCCCUUGACUUUGGGAUAACUUCAGGAAACUGGGGCUAAUACCGGAUAGGAGCUCCUGCUGCAUGGUGGGGGUUGGAAAGUUUCGGCGGUUGGGGAUGGACUCGCGGCUUAUCAGCUUGUUGGUGGGGUAGUGGCUUACCAAGGCUUUGACGGGUAGCCGGCCUGAGAGGGUGACCGGCCACAUGGGGACUGAGAUACGGCCCAGACUCCUACGGGAGGCAGCAGUGGGGAAUAUUGCACAAUGGGCGGAAGCCUGAUGCAGCAACGCCGCGUGUGGGAUGACGGCCUUCGGGGUGUAAACCGCUUUCGCCUGUGACGAAGCGGGAGUGACGGUAAUGGGUAAAGAAGCACCGGCUAACUACGUG